CUUUCCCUCUUUCUUUAGGCCUAACACAUGCAAGUCGAACGGCAGCACAGUAAGAGCUUGCUCUUACGGGUGGCGAGUGGCGGACGGGUGAGGAAUACAUCGGAAUCUACUUUUUCGUGGGGGAUAACGUAGGGAAACUUACGCUAAUACCGCAUACGACCUACGGGUGAAAGCCGGGGAUCUUCGGACCUUGCGCGAUUGAAUGAGCCGAUGUCGGAUUAGCUAGUUGGCGGGGUAAAGGCCCACCAAGGCGACGAUCCGUAGCUGGUCUGAGAGGAUGAUCAGCCACACUGGAACUGAGACACGGUCCAGACUCCUACGGGAGGCAGCAGUGGGGAAUAUUGGACAAUGGGCGCAAGCCUGAUCCAGCCAUACCGCGUGGGUGAAGAAGGCCUUCGGGUUGUAAAGCCCUUUUGUUGGGAAAGAAAAGCAGCAGGUUAAUACCCCGCUGUUCUGACGGUACCCAAAGAAUAAGCACCGGCUAACUUCGUG
RNAcentral lists this ribosomal RNA (492 nucleotides) under uncultured bacterium. RNAcentral describes it as "partial 16S ribosomal RNA". It matches the Rfam family "Bacterial small subunit ribosomal RNA", at positions 36 to 507 of the family's 1533-position model. The record is from RNAcentral.